Small nuclear RNA from Fukomys damarensis (Damara mole-rat), 103 nucleotides. The record is from Ensembl. Lineage: Eukaryota; Metazoa; Chordata; Mammalia; Rodentia; Bathyergidae.
AUGAUCACUUUGGCAGCAGGUAUACUAUAAUUGGAAUGAUACAGAGAUUAGCAUGACCCCAGUCAAGCAUGCCGUGCAAAUUCCUGAAGUGUUCUAUAGUUUU